CCUACGGGUGGCUGCAGUGGGGAAUAUUGGGCAAUGGGCGCAAGCCUGACCCAGCAACGCCGCGUGAAGGAAGAAGGCUUUCGGGUUGUAAACUUCUUUUAUCAGGGACGAAACGAGUGACGGUUCUUGAUGAAUAAGCCACGGCUAACUACGUGGCAGCAGCCGCGGUAAUACGUAGGUGGCGAGCGUUAUCCGGAUUUACUGGGUGUAAAGGGCUUGUAGGCGGGUGUGCAAGUCAGAUGUGAAAACUAGGGGCUCAACCCAUAGCCUGCAUUUGACAUUGGACUUCUUGAGUUCUGGAGAGGCAGUCGGAAUUCGGGGUGUAGCGGUGAAAUGCGUAGAUAUACGGAGGAACACCGGUGGCGAAGGCGGAUUGCUGGACAGUAACUGACGCUGAGGCGCGAAAGCGUGGGGAGCAAACAGGAUUAGAUACCCCAGUAGUC
This 443-nucleotide ribosomal RNA is filed under the name uncultured bacterium. RNAcentral's name for it is "partial 16S ribosomal RNA". It matches the Rfam family "Bacterial small subunit ribosomal RNA", at positions 338 to 795 of the family's 1533-position model. The record is from RNAcentral.